This 856-nucleotide long non-coding RNA is filed under the name Marmota monax (woodchuck). Lineage: Eukaryota; Metazoa; Chordata; Mammalia; Rodentia; Sciuridae. The record is from RNAcentral.
CUGCAAAGGGACAUGCUGCUCAAAUUGGGAGAAACAAACUGAUCACUCUUGGGAUGUUUUAUGCAGAAGGGCCUAUGUUUAUAAAAGGCAGGGAAGGAAAGCUUCAAAGAAGCUGUCCUCGCCUAUAUUCAUUUGGGGUUCUUGUACUCUGAGUUUUAAAGAAGCAGCUGGAUUUUCUAAUGAAACAUUGUGAUCUUUCUUAUCUUCAUUCAGGUGAUUCAACCUGGUGUGCUGGAAGUUUGAGUUUGAGGUGCCACCUUCCUGCAGAACAGCCACAUGAUCUUGCACAAGUUCUGAAAUCCAUGGAGAGGAUGCGAUAAAAUGAGCAUAAGGUGUUAAGUCCUAGAUAAAUGAAAAUAAUAAUUAUCAUAUAAACAACAUACCCAAACCAUUUUCCUUUGCUAAGGAGAUGAUGACUUAAAUCAACUCUGCCAAAACAGAAAUUCUAGAUAAUUUCCUUUUUAUCUCUAACCACCAACAUCCUGCCAUUGGUCUUAUCUAAAAGUAUCCUUCCUCUUCCCUUGUUUCCUGCUGUAGAGGAUGGAUACUACUUUUGAUCUUAUGUAGGUAUUGUUCAAUGAUUAGUACUCUACCUUUGUUUUCUCAACAUAUUGAUCUUGUAAAUGUUAGCUGUCUCUGGAAAUUUCUCAAGGACACAGAAGCUGUUCCAGUGAACUGUGUCUACAAAAGUGACAAACACAAAUAGAUGCUGAAUAACACUUUGUGUUAACUUGAAGACAAAGUUGAGGGUGAUGAUAAUAACCUUCCUCACAUCUUAUGAAGAGUAAGGCUGGUGAUUAAUUUCUUUUUUUAAAAAAAUAUUUUUUAGUUGUAGAUGGACACAAUUACUUUAUUU